RNAcentral lists this non-coding RNA (806 nucleotides) under Perisphaerus sp. 2 ZQW-2023b. The record is from RNAcentral. Lineage: Eukaryota; Metazoa; Arthropoda; Insecta; Blattodea; Blaberidae.
GGAAUUUAAAAAUAAUAAUAAUUUGAUUUUUGUUAAAAAAAAUUUAAUUUAAUUUAAUAUUAGAUGUGGGAUAUAAAAUUUGAGUUAUCUUAAAGGUAAAUUAUUAUAAUUUGCAAUAAAUAGUAUUAUAAAUUUAUGAAAGUUUGAUUUAGUUAUUAUUAUUAAGUAUUGAUUAAAUAUGUGCCAGCAAUCGCGGUUAUACAUAGGAUAUAAUUAAAUUAUUUUAGUUGAUAGUUAUAGAAGAAUUUUUUUUGUAAUUUUUAUAUUUAUUUUUGGGUGAAAUCUAAAUUUUUAUAGUGAUUAUAUAAUAUAAUUUAAGAAGCUGUGAAAAUUAUUAUAUUAAACUAGGAUUAGAUACCCUAUUAUUAUAGUUUUAAAAUAUUGAACUUGGGUAGUAAUAGAUAUGAUCUUGAAACUUAAAUAAUUUGGCGGUAUUUUAGUCUAUUUAGAGGAAUUUGUCCCGUUAUCGAUAAUCCACGUUGAACCUAACUUUAGUUUUAAGAUAUAUGUAUAUCGCCGUUUAGAAAAUCUUUGUAGGGUUAAAAUUUCUUUAAAUUUUAUUAAAUUAUAUUUCAGGUCAAGGUGCAGUAGAUAUUAAAGUGGAGAUGAGUUACAAUAUGUUAAUAUAAUAUGAAUUAUAAGUUGAAAUUUUUAUAUGAAGGUGGAUUUAAUAGUAAUAUUAUGAAGAUUAGUUAAUAUGAUUUAAUUGGCUCUAAAGUAUGUACAUAUCGCCCGUCACUCUCGUUUUUAAUAUGAGAUAAGUCGUAACAAAGUAGGUGUACCGGAAGGUGUAGCUAGAAUUAUUA